RNAcentral lists this ribosomal RNA (253 nucleotides) under uncultured bacterium. RNAcentral describes it as "partial 16S ribosomal RNA". It matches the Rfam family "Bacterial small subunit ribosomal RNA", at positions 524 to 776 of the family's 1533-position model. The record is from RNAcentral.
UACGUAGGGUCGCAGCGUUGUCCGGAAUUAUUGGGCGUAAAGAGCUCGUAGGCGGUUUGUUGCGUCGGCUGUGAAAUCCCGAGGCUCAACCUCGGGUCUGCAGUCGAUACGAGCAAACUAGAGUGUUGCAGGGGAGACUGGAAUUCCUGGUGUAGCGGUGAAAUGCGCAGAUAUCAGGAGGAACACCGGUGGCGAAGGCGGGUCUCUGGGCAACAACUGACGCUGAGGAGCGAAAGCGUGGGUAGCAAACAGG